Molecule: ribosomal RNA, 494 nt
Filed under: uncultured bacterium
Lineage: Bacteria
Description: partial 16S ribosomal RNA
Rfam family: Bacterial small subunit ribosomal RNA
Source: RNAcentral
GACGAACGCUGGCGGCGUGCCUAAUACAUGCAAGUAGAACGCUGAAGGAGGAGCUUGCUCUUCUGGAUGAGUUGCGAACGGGUGAGUAACGCGUAGGUAACCUGCCUGGUAGCGGGGGAUAACUAUUGGAAACGAUAGCUAAUACCGCAUAACAGUAGAUGUUGCAUGACAUUUACUUAAAAGGUGCAAUUGCAUCACUACCAGAUGGACCUGCGUUGUAUUAGCUAGUUGGUGGGGUAACGGCUCACCAAGGCGACGAUACAUAGCCGACCUGAGAGGGUGAUCGGCCACACUGGGACUGAGACACGGCCCAGACUCCUACGGGAGGCAGCAGUAGGGAAUCUUCGGCAAUGGACGGAAGUCUGACCGAGCAACGCCGCGUGAGUGAAGAAGGUUUUCGGAUCGUAAAGCUCUGUUGUAAGAGAAGAACGAGUGUGAGAGUGGAAAGUUCACACUGUGACGGUAUCUUACCAGAAAGGGACGGCUAACUACGG